Molecule: ribosomal RNA, 437 nt
Filed under: uncultured bacterium
Lineage: Bacteria
Description: bacterial SSU rRNA
Rfam family: Bacterial small subunit ribosomal RNA
Source: RNAcentral
UAGGGAAUAUUGGACAAUGGGUGAGAGCCUGAUCCAGCCAUGCCGCGUGCAGGAAGAAGGCGUUAUGCGUUGUAAACUGCUUUUUGCCAGGGGAUAAAAUGACCGUGCGCGGUUAAUUGAAGGUACCUGGUGAAUAAGCCACGGCUAACUACGUGCCAGCAGCCGCGGUAAUACGUAGGUGGCAAGCGUUGUCCGGAUUUAUUGGGUUUAAAGGGUGCGUAGGUGGCCCUGUAAGUCAGUGGUGAAAUAUCUCAGCUUAACUGAGAGGGUGCCAUUGAUACUGCAGGGCUUGAGUACAGAUGAGGUAGGCGGAAUUGACGGUGUAGCGGUGAAAUGCAUAGAUAUCGUCAAGAACACCGAUAGCGAAGGCAGCUUACCAAGCUGUAACUGACACUGAGGCACGAAAGUGUGGGGAUCAAACAGGAUUAGAUACCCGG